CUACGUGCCAGCAGCCGCGGUAAUACGUAGGUGGCAAGCGUUGUCCGGAAUUAUUGGGCGUAAAGCGCGCGCAGGCGGAUCAGUUAGUCUGUCUUAAAAGUUCGGGGCUUAACCCCGUGAUGGGAUGGAAACUGCUGAUCUAGAGUAUCGGAGAGGAAAGUGGAAUUCCUAGUGUAGCGGUGAAAUGCGUAGAUAUUAGGAAGAACACCAGUGGCGAAGGCGGCCUUCUGGGCCAUAACUGACGCUGAGGAGCGAAAGCUAGGGGAGCAAACAGGAUUAGAUACCCUGGUAGUCCACGCCGUAAACGAUGAGUGCUAGGUGUUAGACCCUUUCCGGGGUUUAGUGCCGUAGCUAACGCAUUAAGCACUCCGCUUGGGGAGUACGACCGCAAGGUUGAAACUCAAAGGAAUUGACGGGGGCCCGCACAAGCGGUGGAGCAUGUGGUUUAAUUCGAAGCAACGCGAAGAACCUUACCAGGUCUUGACAUCC
Molecule: ribosomal RNA, 489 nt
Filed under: uncultured bacterium
Lineage: Bacteria
Description: bacterial SSU rRNA
Rfam family: Bacterial small subunit ribosomal RNA
Source: RNAcentral